This 63-nucleotide transfer RNA is filed under the name Enyalioides rudolfarndti. Its description in RNAcentral is "tRNA-Cys". RNAcentral also lists the same sequence under 1 other name. Lineage: Eukaryota; Metazoa; Chordata; Lepidosauria; Squamata; Hoplocercidae. The record is from RNAcentral.
AAGCCCCGGGGCCGACUGGGACCUAUUUCAAACUUGCAUUUUGACGUGUAACACCUCGGGGCC